UUAUGGCUAUUCCUCUUCUUCCUUGGAGCCUUAGGUAGUGGGAAUUUGGUCCAUCAUAUAUCUAAGCUAACUUGUCUUCAGUCAGAGCACCAUGGGGAUGGGUUGGCUGUUCAUUAGUGCCUUCUGAUUUUUGCAGAUUGAAACAAUU
Pteronotus mesoamericanus is the source of this 148-nucleotide small nucleolar RNA. RefSeq annotates it as small nucleolar RNA SNORA79. The transcript has a single exon. NCBI's taxonomy places the organism in Eukaryota, Metazoa, Chordata, Mammalia, Chiroptera, Mormoopidae. The record is from RefSeq and is a predicted model, not a curated record.